Non-coding RNA from Heterocephalus glaber (naked mole-rat), 667 nucleotides. The record is from RefSeq and is a predicted model, not a curated record. NCBI's taxonomy places the organism in Eukaryota, Metazoa, Chordata, Mammalia, Rodentia, Bathyergidae.
GCAGGUCUCCUGUUCUCUGGAAUUCAGAUCUGAUUGGGACAAAGUGACAAAGACAUCGAUGGCUCUAGAACAAGGCUGCAGGAGUCCCACAUGUGGCCCCACCUGCCCCUGGCUGGGCUCAGCUGUUGCUGGUUUGGUAACCUAACUGAGGAAUGCACAUGUGACCAGGCUGGGGACUUCCUGAUGAGCCACCUACAUGACAAAGGCUGAACUCAAGGCCUAGGUGGACAUCAAGCUCAAGACCAGGCUGGCUUCAAACACAAUCCUCAGCCUCCCAAGCAGCUUGGAUUACGGAUGUGCCCACUGUGCGUGGUUCCCAGGCGGUCCUGGAUAAAGUGAACAGGCAGAGGUCCUAGGACACUUCACCUACUGCCUCCUGCUCAGGAACCCGGAGGUGGUGGCAACAGCAAGGCAGAUGGUACAGGUGCCAGCUAGGGGCCUCUGUGCCAACAGAGGGUCUCCAGUGAGACCAGCAACGCCGUGCAGGAAGGGGCCGUGUCCAUUCAGCACUGGACCGUGCCAGGCACACCAGGGGUGCCUGUUGCAGACCUCAGACUAAGCAGCACCAGGGCGGGGCACCUGCCUAGCAGUGACUGUGACCACUCUUGGGACGGGUGCCUGUUCCUGACCACUGUGUCCUCCUGAAGAUUAAACUGAAGUAACCAGA